GCCAGAGGUUCGGCUUCACAAAGACUGAAAAACGGCUGAUGUUCGCCCCUGACAUGCGGAGACUACAAGAGCUGGAGCGAACUCUAAGACGAAGCAACAGUCAUAAAGACAGAAGAUCGGACGAGUUUCAUGGAACGUGGAAGCUGGUGCAAAGCGAUUCAGAGGUUCAAUGGCCACCUUUACAAUCAAGAAAUGUGGACUGAGGAAGAAGCAAGCUGCAGCGACACACAAAUUGUGAUGGUAGCUCCUUUAGUAUCAGCAACAAAUCCUAUGAUCGUUGGAGGCCGUCUCUUCGAGACUAAAUAAAUAAAACAUCUCAGAGACUACGCUAAGGAGCUGCUUAUUCUGGCCAACUUGUGAGUAAAUAACCU
Molecule: long non-coding RNA, 371 nt
Organism: Selaginella moellendorffii
Lineage: Eukaryota; Viridiplantae; Streptophyta; Lycopodiopsida; Selaginellales; Selaginellaceae
Exons: 3
Source: RefSeq, a predicted model, not a curated record